CCUACGGGUGGCAGCAGUGGGGGAUAUUGCACAAUGGGGGAAACCCUGAUGCAGCGACGCCGCGUGAGUGAUGAAGUAUUUCGGUAUGUAAAGCUCUAUUAGCAGGGAAGAAAAUGACAGCACCUGACCAAUAAGCCACGGCCAUAUUCGUUCCAGCAGCCGUGGUAAUACGCAGGGGGCCAGCGUUAUCCGGAUUUACUGGGCGUAAAGGGAGCGUAGACGGUUAUGUAAGUCUGGAGUGAAAGGCCGGGGCCCAACCCCGAGACUGCUUUGGAAACUGUGUGACUGGAGUACAGGAGGGGUAGGCGGAAUUCCUGGUGUAGCGGUGAAAUGCGUAGAUAUCAGGAAGAACACCGACGGCGAAGGCAGCCUGCUGGACUGAAACUGACGUUGAGGCUCGAAAGCGUGGGGAGCAAACAGGAUUAGAUACCCGAGUAGUC
This 440-nucleotide ribosomal RNA is filed under the name uncultured bacterium. RNAcentral's name for it is "partial 16S ribosomal RNA". It matches the Rfam family "Bacterial small subunit ribosomal RNA", at positions 338 to 795 of the family's 1533-position model. The record is from RNAcentral.